Molecule: non-coding RNA, 1406 nt
Organism: Peromyscus maniculatus bairdii (prairie deer mouse)
Lineage: Eukaryota; Metazoa; Chordata; Mammalia; Rodentia; Cricetidae
Source: RefSeq, a predicted model, not a curated record
UCUCUGGUGUUGAGAGGUCAUUACUCGUCACAUCUGGGGACUGGAUCUGUGCCACUAAGGAGUGAAGCGCAGACGUCCUCUUCCCCUUGGCAUCCGUGAAAGAGCACAGGGCUGUGAACCAAGACAAGGGGUCCAGGCCAAGCGUUGUGACCACCUUGCCACUGACCCUCACACUGCUCUCUUCCUGCACCUGGUCCCACCUGCACUCUCCUUCUGUUAGCAUCCUGUGGUCACGACAUGGUUCCUCCUACUGGUGGAAAAGACAGGACCCAGCAAGACGGAAAUGAUUCAGGAAGCUAUGGGAGGGUCAUGCCACUUCGGGCACCAUUAAACCCCUGGGGUCCCACACAGCAGCUGGCAUCUGUCAGUGCCAGGAGACCCCUGGCUCCUCCCUACCUCCCACACUACCAGGCCCUGGGGACUCCUGGGAAGCAGCAGGACUCACAGGUUGUCACUACUUCUCCAUGGGUGUCCUCACCACACAUGGAGAGACAGAGAGGCAGUGUGUGCAUGGCAAAGGGCAUGGGACAGGGGCUUCUGCAGGCAGCUGUCUCCACAGGUCCUCAGCCUCAGGAGGCAGAGGGACCCCACCCUGGAGGCCGGGCAUCUGGGGCUGUCUUCACAGGAGCCUGUUCAUCCUGAACCAGGAACUGGAAUUGCUGGUCAUUGAAAUAAUUAGCUUCUCUUCAACCUCACAGAAAGAAUACUUCCUUCUACUCAAAACUGUAUCAGCCCCAGAGACCUCAGCUGGGUUUCCGCUGCAAUUCUCCUGUAUAGGAAAAGGUUUCAGGACGCUGGGUGGGAGAGAGGCCAGCUUUCUUCACAGAACAGCGGAGAGAAGCAGAAACAUACCACAAAGAUGCGGUUUCAAAGCCACUUUCUGAGGCAAACACACAGGGGAAAUUAAGCAGACAUGAGAAAGAGUCCAGUUGAGGUCUCACUGGCUGAGAGUCACAAAAUUUCAACACACUGGACCAAACCCUUGCGCGACUGCCUGCAGAGAAGUCUGCUCCACUCUCUGAGAAAUAUCUCUUGAAAAAGUAUUCACACAGCUGAUAGGCCAUGCUUGAGGUCAAGGCCUGUGUCUUCCCCUCAUGACCUUUGACCUUUGGGUCUUGCUAGCACUUUCAAAUCUGAACAAGGUGCUUUCAAUGACCACCUUGAAAUUCACAAAAGGAAGUUCUCUAGAAAGAGAAAUAAGCAAGUCAGAUGAUUCAUGAUUCUUCACUUAACUUUAAAACUUGGCUUGAUCCUUAAACUUAGUUAUAAGUGACGCCCUUAGGAUGAUACACUUUCAGAAGCUACAAAUCACACGUGUAGCUACUGCGGGGUGCACGUCUUGCUUUCCACCCACCCUGUCUCUGCAAGUCUGCCCCUUGCUUAAUAAAUUCUGACUUUGCUUUGUA